GGGAUAUAUUCGAGUUGUACUGCCCCUGAUAAAGGACUCGGCAGUAGUAUAGUAAGCUAAGAGAGAGAAAAUGGUGUUGAUUGAUAAACUUUGGGAUGAUGUUAUGGCUGGUCCCAGCCCUGAUAAAGGACUCGGCAAACUCAGAAAGAGCCUCACUAUUCAAACUGGUACUCUUAAUUCUAACAAAAUUGAUAUGUAAAAUCCAUUUCUGUUUGUGUGCAUGAAAAUUUAGGGGAAAAUUGAUGAAGUAAAAUUAAAGUUGUAUAUAUGUAAAGAUAAUUGAUGGAGAUCGAUCCAGUAUUAACUUAAAUUUUCUGAAUUGGAAUUGAUUCUCGUAUAUAGGUGGUGAAUCAGGAGAAGGAUCUAGCAAGUACCAGAGAUCUCUGUCGAUGCCGGCAAGUCCGCCGACGCCAGGUACGCCGGUGACGCCGACGAAUAUAUCGCCGACGGUACGGAAAGAGAAUGUGUGGAGGAGUGUUUUUCACCCAGGGAGCAAUUUAGCUACCAGGAGAAUUGGUGCUGAAGUGUUUGAUAAGCCUUCUCACCCUAACGCUCCUACUGUUUAUGACUGGCUCUACAGUGGGAACACCAGAUCUAAGCAUCAUGAGAAGUGCUGAGAGUUUUUGGGUGGAAAAAAGCAGUAGAAAAUCUUCAUAUAAAUAGUGUUUUUUUUCCUAUGCGAGUUGGGGACUUGCUAUCUAUAUUUGUGAUUAUAUGUUUUUUCUGUUGGGUAUUAAGUUAUAAUUAAGUAGUAUGCUGUAUUGUAAAUUACGCUUUCAAAAGCUAAUUUCUUAGCUUUAAUGGCAGGCCAUCUAUGGCUUUCUAGUUCCAAAUGAAGUUGUUACUAUUAUUACUAUACUGUUUGGAUGGUUGUCUUGCUUUAUUAAAUAUCUGAAAAUGAAUAUGGUAAUGUUUUUGUUUGUUAGUGAUGGGUCAAGUGUAAC
Molecule: unclassified non-coding RNA, 944 nt
Filed under: Hevea brasiliensis (rubber tree)
Lineage: Eukaryota; Viridiplantae; Streptophyta; Magnoliopsida; Malpighiales; Euphorbiaceae
Source: RNAcentral